CCUACGGGAGGCAGCAGUGGGGAAUAUUGCACAAUGGGCGAAAGCCUGAUGCAGCAACGCCGCGUGAGCGAUGAAGGCCUUCGGGUCGUAAAGCUCUGUCCUCAAGGAAGAUAAUGACGGUACUUGAGGAGGAAGCCCCGGCUAACUACGUGCCAGCAGCCGCGGUAAUACGUAGGGGGCUAGCGUUAUCCGGAAUUACUGGGCGUAAAGGGUGCGUAGGUGGUUUCUUAAGUCAGAGGUGAAAGGCUACGGCUCAACCGUAGUAAGCCUUUGAAACUGGGAAACUUGAGUGCAGGAGAGGAGAGUGGAAUUCCUAGUGUAGCGGUGAAAUGCGUAGAUAUUAGGAGGAACACCAGUUGCGAAGGCGGCUCUCUGGACUGUAACUGACACUGAGGCACGAAAGCGUGGGGAGCAAACAGGAUUAGAUACCCUGGUAGUCCACGCCGUAAACGAUGAGUACUAGCUGUCGGAGGUUACCCCCUUCGGUGGCGCAGCUAACGCAUUAAGUACUCCGCCUGGGAAGUACGCUCGCAAGAGUGAAACUCAAAAGCUGAAUUGACGG
Molecule: ribosomal RNA, 562 nt
Filed under: uncultured Peptostreptococcaceae bacterium
Lineage: Bacteria; Bacillati; Bacillota; Clostridia; Peptostreptococcales; Peptostreptococcaceae
Description: bacterial SSU rRNA
Rfam family: Bacterial small subunit ribosomal RNA
Source: RNAcentral